Molecule: ribosomal RNA, 162 nt
Filed under: Bremia sp.
Lineage: Eukaryota; Oomycota; Peronosporomycetes; Peronosporales; Peronosporaceae
Description: 5.8S ribosomal RNA
Rfam family: 5.8S ribosomal RNA
About the family: 5.8S ribosomal RNA (5.8S rRNA) is a component of the large subunit of the eukaryotic ribosome. It is transcribed by RNA polymerase I as part of the 45S precursor that also contains 18S and 28S rRNA.
Source: RNAcentral
UAGCAACUUUCAGCAGUGGAUGUCUAGGCUCGCACAUCGAUGAAGAACGCCGCGAACUGCGAUACGUAAUGCGAAUUGCACGAUUCAGUGAGUCAUCGAAAUUUUGAACGCAUAUUGCACUUCCGGGUUAGUCCUGGAAGUAUGCCUGUAUCAGUGUCCGUA